Molecule: long non-coding RNA, 637 nt
Organism: Orcinus orca (killer whale)
Lineage: Eukaryota; Metazoa; Chordata; Mammalia; Artiodactyla; Delphinidae
Exons: 4
Source: RefSeq, a predicted model, not a curated record
ACUGCCUAGACCUGGCACCAACAUCAAUUGGGGGUGGCCGGUGGCCAAGGAGGGCUGGGUGGUUCCCAAACAACUAGGAAUCGAUUUUCUUCUGGAAUGAGCUGGGUCCCCUUUGUCAAGCCAAGUUUGGGCGCUACUUACAUGAUGACCAGAGCGGCAUCCCGGGAGUAAUCCAGCAGAAUCUCGUUCAGCCUCACCUGCCGAAGGGACUGGGCGAGGAAAAGCCACGUGGUCACUUCCCAUGUCUGAACUUCCACAAGUCGUCCACGAAGACCAACCUGUGAUCCACCUCCAUCCACCUGUCCAUCCCCCAGUCUAGGUGGGGGCAGGAAGGACCAUGUCCUUGCACUUGGCUCACCAGAGAGAAAGGGCCGACCCUUCUGCCUGGAACCCCCAGCACAGAAAACUCACUGCUCAGCCUGCGGCUUCUGGUUGAUGUCGGGAAGGAUGUGAACUUCGUGGAAUCCCAGCCGGAACUUGCUCAGCAGAGAAAUGAUCCUGGGAGAUGGAGAUUUUUUUUCUUUAAUGUAUUCAUUCAUUCAAUGAGUUUUUAUUGAGCUCCUGUGGAGGAUAUAGCAGCAAGCAAAACAAACCCUGCCCUCGGGGAGUUUACAUUCUAACCUGGGAGGAGGGCAGA